GCCCGAAUAGCUCAGUCGGUAGAGCAAUCGGCUGUUAACCGAUUUGUCACAGGUUCGAGUCCUGUUUCGGGCGCCA
RNAcentral lists this transfer RNA (76 nucleotides) under Erysipelotrichaceae bacterium. RNAcentral describes it as "tRNA-Asn". It matches the Rfam family "tRNA". Rfam says of the family: Transfer RNA (tRNA) molecules are approximately 80 nucleotides in length. Their secondary structure includes four short double-helical elements and three loops (D, anti-codon, and T loops). Further hydrogen bonds mediate the characteristic L-shaped molecular structure. tRNAs have two regions of fundamental functional importance: the anti-codon, which is responsible for specific mRNA codon recognition, and the 3' end, to which the tRNAs corresponding amino acid is attached (by aminoacyl-tRNA synthetases). tRNAs cope with the degeneracy of the genetic code in two manners: having more than one tRNA (with a specific anti-codon) for a particular amino acid; and 'wobble' base-pairing, i.e. permitting non-standard base-pairing at the 3rd anti-codon position. RNAcentral also lists the same sequence under 1 other name. Lineage: Bacteria; Bacillati; Bacillota; Erysipelotrichia; Erysipelotrichales; Erysipelotrichaceae. The record is from RNAcentral.